CAGUUCUACUCCACACCAGCGCGAAAUAUAAUCAUUUAAACCAAAUUCUCAGUUUUAAAGCAUUACAUUAUACAUGUUUAUUUGGAUAGGGCAUCUCCUAACCGCUCAUCGGCUGAGUCGUGCCCAGCACUUCUGCCGCCGGUAUGUGAGGAAUGCGGAAACUGUGACGUGCCGCGUGAGCGCGCGAGCCAUUUCCCACGAGUGAGGCUGCGGGACAGGAAGUGAACAUGGCUCAAAUGACAAAGCCACAUUGUCCCAGUACCGAUCCACAGCAGAGGGCAAGACCUGACAAAAAACCGGCCGGCAAGGACUCAGCAUUGACCGGCAUGACAAUGAGCCACACAGAGCCCACAGAGGCAAGAUAAAGAAUAGGGAGAGGAGGCACAGCCAAGGCUAGCACACCACCUCUCUGCACUUCAUUAUGAUCUCCUCAUCCUGCAGGAAAAGGCACUGGCUGUUCUCAGAGCUGCAAACCAGGGAGGAAGGACAGAUAAUGCUCCCUCAGAAGCUGGUCUGACAGACAAACGGCAAUAAAUAUCAGUGCAUUAAGGAGCUCUGAGGUAUGAACUUCCCACAAGACCUUGUCAAUGAGCUUGAAGUUUGAUUCGAAUGAGAAUUAAAGCAUUACAAGCCAGAAAA
Carassius carassius (crucian carp) is the source of this 639-nucleotide long non-coding RNA. RefSeq lists it as uncharacterized. NCBI's taxonomy places the organism in Eukaryota, Metazoa, Chordata, Actinopteri, Cypriniformes, Cyprinidae. The record is from RefSeq and is a predicted model, not a curated record. The transcript has 2 exons.